This 641-nucleotide ribosomal RNA is filed under the name uncultured bacterium. Its description in RNAcentral is "bacterial SSU rRNA". It matches the Rfam family "Bacterial small subunit ribosomal RNA", at positions 193 to 850 of the family's 1533-position model. The record is from RNAcentral.
CCUGAGGGUCAAAGGCGCAAGUCGCCUGUGGAGGAACCUGCGUUCGAUUAGCUAGUUGGUGGGGUAAAGGCCUACCAAGGCGAUGAUCGAUAGCUGGUCUGAGAGGAUGAUCAGCCACACUGGGACUGAGACACGGCCCAGACUCCUACGGGAGGCAGCAGUGGGGAAUAUUGGACAAUGGGCGCAAGCCUGAUCCAGCAAUGCCGCGUGUGUGAAGAAGGUUUUCGGAUUGUAAAGCACUUUCAGCGGGGACGAUGAUGACGGUACCCGCAGAAGAAGCCCCGGCUAACUUCGUGCCAGCAGCCGCGGUAAUACGAAGGGGGCAAGCGUUGCUCGGAAUGACUGGGCGUAAAGGGCGCGUAGGCGGUUGACACAGUCAGGUGUGAAAUUCCCGGGCUUAACCUGGGGUCUGCAUUUGAUACGUGGCGACUAGAGUGUGAGAGAGGGUUGUGGAAUUCCCAGUGUAGAGGUGAAAUUCGUAGAUAUUGGGAAGAACACCGGUGGCGAAGGCGGCAACCUGGCUCAUGACUGACGCUGAGGCGCGAAAAGCGUGGGGGAGCAAACAGCAUUAGAUACCCUGGUAGUCCACGCUGUAAACGAUGUGUGCUGGAUGUUGGGUGACUUUGUCAUUCAGUGUCGUA